CAGUCGCCACGGUAAUACGUAGGUGGCAAGCGUUGUCCGGAAUUAUUGGGCGUAAAGGGCUCGCAGGCGGUUUCUUAAGUCUGAUGUGAAAGCCCCCGGCUCAACCGGGGAGGGUCAUUGGAAACUGGGAAACUUGAGUGCAGAAGAGGAGAGUGGAAUUCCACGUGUAGCGGUGAAAUGCGUAGAGAUGUGGAGGAACACCAGUGGCGAAGGCGACUCUCAGGUCUGUAACUGACACUGAGGAGCGAAAGCGUGGGGAGCGAACAGGAUUAGAUACCCCAGUAGUCCCUGUCUCUUAUAC
Molecule: ribosomal RNA, 301 nt
Filed under: uncultured bacterium
Lineage: Bacteria
Description: partial 16S ribosomal RNA
Rfam family: Bacterial small subunit ribosomal RNA
Source: RNAcentral